Molecule: RNase P RNA, 373 nt
Filed under: Muricoccus aeriglobus
Lineage: Bacteria; Pseudomonadati; Pseudomonadota; Alphaproteobacteria; Acetobacterales; Roseomonadaceae
Description: RNase P RNA component class A
Rfam family: Bacterial RNase P class A
About the family: Ribonuclease P (RNase P) is a ubiquitous endoribonuclease, found in archaea, bacteria and eukarya as well as chloroplasts and mitochondria. Its best characterised activity is the generation of mature 5'-ends of tRNAs by cleaving the 5'-leader elements of precursor-tRNAs.
Source: RNAcentral
CCAGAGGGUCGGGCGGCCGCGGGUGCUUCGUGAAGCACGCGAGGAAAGUCCGGGCUCCACGGAAACGACGGUGGCGGGUAACGCCCGCCGGGGGCGACCCCAGGGACAGUGCAACAGAGAGCAGACGGCCGGGUUGCGACCCGGUCACGGUGAAAGGGUGCGGUAAGAGCGCACCGCGCGACCGGUAACGGAAGCGGCACGGUAAACCCCACCGGGAGCAAAACCGAAUAGGGACGGCAUAGGGGCCUCGUUCCGGCCCGUCGUCCGGGUUGGUUGCUGGAGGCGGCGCGCGAGCGUCGUCCUAGAGGAAUGGUCGCCUAUCCUUGCUGCAAGGCAAGGUGGACAGAACCCGGCUUACAGACCCUCUGGCACU